RNAcentral lists this ribosomal RNA (1903 nucleotides) under human gut metagenome. Its description in RNAcentral is "bacterial LSU rRNA". It matches the Rfam family "Bacterial large subunit ribosomal RNA", at positions 3 to 1995 of the family's 2925-position model. The record is from RNAcentral.
UCAAGCUAAUAAGGGCGCAAGGGGGAUGCCUUGGCAUUGGUAGCCGAUGAAGGACGUAGCGAUCUACGAUAAGCCACGGGAAGUCGAAAGCAGGCAAUGAUCCGUGGAUUUCCGAAUGGGGAAACCCGGCAGAGCAAUACUCUGUCAACUCCUUGUGAAUAAAAUAGCAUUGAGUAGGGAACCUCCUGAACUGAAACAUCUAAGUAGGGAGAGGAAAAGAAAUCAACCGAGAUUCCGCUAGUAGUGGCGAGCGAACGCGGAAGAGGCCAAACCAAGAGUAGUAAUACUUUUGGGGUUCGGACUGAGUACGGUAUUGACAAAGGUUAGUGGAAUGAAAUGGGAAGUUCAACCAUAGAGCGUGAGAGUCGCGUAUACGAAAACUUGAGUCAGCCAUCAGUAUCCAGAGUACCGCCGGACACGUGAAACCCGGUGGGAAUACGGGGGGACCACCCUCCAAGCCUAAAUACUCACCAAUGACCGAUAGUGUAUAGUACUGUGAAGGAAAGGUGAAAAGAACCCCUGGCGGGGAGUGAAAAAGAACCUGAAACCUUGUGCCUACAAGCACAUAGAGCACAUCAACGUGUGAUAUGGUACCUUUUGUAGAAUGGUCCGGCGAGUGAAUGUCACUAGCGAGGUUAAGGACUUAAGGUCUGCAGCCGAAGCGAAAGCGAGUCUUAAUAGGGCGAUAAUAGUUAGUGGUAUUCGACCCGAAACCGAGUGACCUAGCCAUGAGCAGGCUGAAGUGGAGGUAAAACUCCAUGGAGGGCCGAACCCACUCCCGUUGAAAUGGUAGGGGAUGACUUGUGGCUAGCGGAGAAAUUCCAAUCGAACUCGGAGAUAGCUGGUUCUCUCCGAAAUAGCUUUAGGGCUAGCCUCAAAUAACAUUACCGCAGGUAAAGCACUGAAUGGGCUAGGGGGCGAAAGCUUACUGAACCCUAUCAAACUAAGAAUGGCGGAUAAUGAAUAUUUGGGAGUCACACUACGUGAGAUAAGUUUCGUGGUGGAAAGGGAAACAGCCCAGACCCACAGCUAAGGUCCCAAAGUACAGUUAAGUGGAAAAGGAUGUGAAGUUGCGCAGACAACCAGGAUGUUGGCUCAGAAGCAGCCACUCAUUCAAAGAGUGCGUAAUAGCUCACUGGUCGAGUGAUUUUGCGCCGAAAAUUUAACGGGGCUAAACUGUACACCGAAGCUUGGGAAUAUACCUCUGGUAUGUUGGUAGGAGAGCGUCGUAUGCGGGGUGAAGUCGUAGCGAAAGCGGCGGUGGACUGCAUAGGAGUGAGAAUGCCGGAAUGAGUAGCGAGAAUUAUGUGAGAAUCAUAAUGGCCGAAAGACUAAGGUUUUAGAAGGAAGGUUCGUCCGCUUCUAGUUAGCCGGGAGCUAAGGCGAGGCCGAAAGGCGUAGUCGAUGCACAUACGGUUGAGAUUCCGUAGCCACCUUAAAUUUAAACUAAGGGACACAUUGAAAGGGAAUAACCCAGGCGUUGGUUGACCUGGGCGUAAGGGAACGAAAAUAAGUAGUGAAGUAUUCUUGGACAGUGGCGAGAAAAGCUUAGUGUAUAUUAUUAGGGUGCCCGUACUGCAAACCGACACAGGUAGUCAGGAAGAGAAUUCUAAGGCCAUCGGGAGAAGCGUUGUUAAGGAACUCGGCAAAUUGACCCCGUAACUUCGGAAUAAGGGGUGCUCACGCGAGUGAGCCGCAGUGAAUAGGUCCAGGCAACUGUUUAUCAAAAACACAGCUCUCUGCUAAAUCGUAAGAUGACGUAUAGGGGGUGACACCUGCCCGGUGCUGGAAGGUUAAGAGGAGGAGUGCAAGCCCCGAAUCGAAGCCCCAGUAAACGGCGGCCGUAACUAUAACGGGCCUAAGGUAGCGAAAUUCCUUGUCGGGUAAGUUCCGACCUGCACGA